GCGGCCGCGAGGCGGGGCUGGAGGGCGCUGCGGGCUGCGCGGAGGCUGCGGGAAGCGCGGGGAGCACGCGGAGCCCGACUAGCAGGGAGAUCGCGUCGCGCCGGGCACAGGCACGGGACCCGCGCUCUAGGAGGGCGCAGCGAGAGGCGCACUGCGCACCCAGGGGCUGCGGUCCCGGCCGCCGUGCGGUGACAAGCUGACUCCCCGCCGCCGCCCAGCCAAGUCCGCGCGGGGUGCUGGCGGAGAUGUCGCAUGGGAGGCUUCUUCAACGAGGUGCAAAUCCAAGCCACCUCGCCUGAGAUUAGAACAUCCGACAUUAAAAUGUCUCAGUGCAGCAGAAUUUCCCAGCGACUUCGGUGGCGGGAGAGCAGCACCUCUCAGGCACAGCUGUGCGCAUCCCUCGGGCCCCACCGACCGCACCAUCUGACCGCGGGAAACGAAAUCUGAGCUCAGGAAUUUGAACUGCCCCACGCACGUUCGUUCCCGGAUAAAUCUCCUAGAGGACCGUGAUUUUUCCACUUAGAGAUUAUUUAGGGAGAUGUCCUGGAUGGGACAAGUAGACAAAUGGCGGCCCGAGGAAAAUGCAGGAAACUCUACAUUGUAGACGCUUAAGCACCAACUGUCUGGGCCCCGGGGCAGGGAACGGGAGACAUUAUCCACCGGAAACAUCACACCCCCGGGGCUCCUGGCAUUUUCUACAUCAGUGAAUGUGCCAGCGAAGAAGAGUGUGGGGAAAUUUUCUGAACAUAGAAUUCAUAUUCCUGAAACGUUAAGUCGUGAAGUGGGUGCUUCAGCUGUCCCCCAGCUUUAGGAUUUUAACCCAGCUUUGGUUUUGAUCACCGAGAGUUAUUCCUUAUAAUCAAAUCAGCAAAAGCGUUCAAUUACCUAUUACUGGUUGAGAAAGAUUCCGUUCCCCCAGCUCAUUGUAUCGGUUCUUGGACCCAAGAUGUUAAUUAUCGGCCAGGCAUUCACAGGGGGUUAAUAUGGCCCCCCUCGACACCUUGCCUCGUACCAGAGACACCAAAAGCUGCCGCUGAGGGAUAAUAGAGAAUGGGAAAAGCUGGUCAUGAAAAACCUCUUUUAUUCUUACUUGCAAGCUACCCUUUUGACAUUCUUUUUUUAACACUAAAUGGAGAUUACUGAAUUGAUAACUUUUGGGUUUUCUCUGUCACACUGGGGUUUUUUUCCCCCCGUUUGUUUGUAAGGUUUUUUUGGUUUUGGUUUUGGUUUUGGGGGGAGGGGAAGGGGGAAGUGGAUAGGGAGAUGGAAGAGUGUUCUGUUACUGGUUUUAUCAAAUCCUGUUAGGUCUUGUUCUUCAGUGUAAUGUAGAAUGGAGAAGUUGCAUAAGUACAUGAUUGACAAACAAGGUCUCUUAGAAGAGAGUUAAGGAGUAGGAAAUAUAAUGUGUCCUGGAGAAAAAGAAAGAGAAAACCCUUAGUAUGACACACUGGCCUUUAAAUAGAGGACACAUGAAUAUGCAAAGGAGAGGCACGUGUGAAAUAAGGUGUGCCUUGCUGAGCCCUCCCGCCCCCACCCCCCAUGUAUCAAGAACUUUACUUACAUUAUCUCAUCUAAUUCUACCCACAACCCAAGAGGAAGGGCGAUACUUUUAAUUCGGGUUUUUACAGACAAGAAAUUUGUAUCUCAGAGGCCCAAAGUAAAUUGCCUGAGGGCAUAUAGCUACUUAGGACAGAAUUAGAAUUGAUUAAAGAGUCAAAAAUUCUUUGAGAAUUAAUGUUUUAAACUCUCGAUUAGUUACCAAGGGAAUCUGAGAAAUUAAUUAACUUUUGGGGGGAUCUUUAGAUUAGUGGGGAAAUUAUGUUAAGCCCAAAGAAAGACAAGCCCGUGAAUUUUCUUGUUAUCUAUGAAGUGGUUUGGUGAAAGGUGUGACAAUUUGAGAAAACUGAAAAGUGCUGAAAUUCCUUUAAUAAGGUUCUGUUUAAACUGAUAGAGCUACCAGAUAUAAUUAGGCAGAUAUCCAUUUUCUUCUGGAAGCUUCUAUUAUUUGAGAAGAAAACUGAAAAGCUUUAGACUGUUUCAAAUUAAGGACAAUUUGAAUUUUAGUUGGAAAGCGGAUAAACUAUCUGUAUGAUUGAGUUUAAAAGGCAUGGAAAGACUAUUACGAAGUAUUGAUCCCACUCAGUGAGAGCAAGCACAGCUUUCAAAUGAUACAGAUCUGGCUAUGAAUUUGAAUGGUGACUGUGCCUAGCUGUGUGACCAAGGGCAACUUUCUUAACCUCUCUGGGCCUCUGAGUCCUCGUCUUUAAAAUGAGACAAAUAAGCCCUUGCAAGACGCUUGUGAUGAU
Homo sapiens (human) is the source of this 2306-nucleotide long non-coding RNA. Ensembl annotates it as long intergenic non-protein coding RNA 1415. NCBI's taxonomy places the organism in Eukaryota, Metazoa, Chordata, Mammalia, Primates, Hominidae. The record is from Ensembl.